RNAcentral lists this long non-coding RNA (4894 nucleotides) under Homo sapiens (human). RNAcentral describes it as "HSALNT0286035". Lineage: Eukaryota; Metazoa; Chordata; Mammalia; Primates; Hominidae. The record is from RNAcentral.
AUUUUUUUGCCUGAAGAAAUAUAGUCUAGAAACCACUUGGAACCUGUGGGGGAUGACUAAUUACCCUGUAGCGACUCAAGGCCAUCAAUCUUUCAAUGCCUGGGAUGAAGACUAAGAGGGCAAGAGAAAGGAAUUACUUAUAUCAUGUAAAUUUGUGGGGAAAUGGUAGCCCAGAGAGAUGGAAAACUAACAACAACCUUCAAUUAAUGUGGGAGUCACUUUUCUCAAUGGAACAUCCAGUCUUACAAAGCUGAACUUUCAUCUUAAGAUAUCACUCACGCCCCAAUUCACAUGGCCUCAGAAUAAUAUUCAUGCUGUUUGGAAAAUCAUCCUUUUUUCACUUUUAUUUAGGUUCUGGGGUACAUGUACAGGUUUAUUAUAUAGGUAAAUUGCAUGUCAUGAGGGUUUGGUGUACAGGUUAUUUAAUCAUCCAGGUAAUCAGCAUUGUACAUGAUAGGUAGUUUUUUUAUUCUCACCCUUCUCCAACCCUCCACCCUCAAGAACACCCCAGUGUCUGUUGUUUCCUUCUUUCUGUCCGUAUGUACUCAAUGUUUACCUCCCACUUAUAAGUGAGAACAUGCAGUAUUUGGUUUUCUCUUUCUGUGUUAGUUUGCUUAGGAUAAUGGCCUCAAGCUCCAUCUAUGUUGAUACAAAGGACAUGAUAUUCUUUUCAAUGGCUGUGUAGUAUUCCGUGGUGUAUAUGUACCACAUUUUCUUUAUGUAGUCUACCAUUGAUAAACAUUUAGGUUGAUUCUGUGUCUUUUCUAUUGUGAAUAUGCAACAAACAUAUGCAUGCAUGUGUCUUUAUGAUAGAAUGAUUUAUAUUCCUCUGAGUAUAUACCCGAUAAUGGAAUUGCUGCAUCAAAUGGUAUCGGGUUGGUGCAAAAGUAAUUGUGAUUUUUGCCAUUAAAAGUAGUUCAAAAACUGCAAUUACUUUUGCACCAACCUAAUAAUUUUGUUUUAAGUUUUUUGAGAAAUCACCAAACUGCUUUCCACAGUAGCCGAACUAAUUUACAUUCCCAGCAGCAAUGUAUAAGCACUCCCUGUUUCCCACAACCUUGUCAGCAUCUGUUACUUUUUGACUUUUUAAUAAUAUCCAUUCUGACUGGUGUGAGAUGAUAUCUCAUCAUGGUUUGGAUUGGCAUUUCUCUAAUGAUUAGUACUGUUCAGCAUUUUCUCAUAUAUUUGUUGGCCACAUGUAUGUCUUCUUUUGAGAAGUGUCUGUUCAUGUCCUUGGUCCACUUUUCAAUGGGGUUGUUUGUUUUUUUGCUUGUAAAUUUGUUUAAGAUCCUUACAGAUUCUGGAUAUUAGACCUUUGUUGGAUGCAUGGUUUGGUAGUAUUUUCUCCCAUUCUGUAGGUUGUCUGUUUACUCUGUUGGUAGUUUCUUUUGCUAUGCAAAAGCUCUUUAGUAUAAUCAGGUCCCAUUUGUCAAUUUUUGUUUUUCUUGCAAUUGCUUUUGUCAUCUUCAUCAGGAAAUCUUUUCCAGGUCUUAUGUCCAGAAAGGUAUCUCUUAUGUUACCUCCUAGGUUAUCUUCCAGGAUCUAUAGUUUUAGGUUUUAUAUUUAAGUCUUAAAACCAUCAUGAGUUCAUUGUUAUAUGUGGUGUAAGGAAAGGAUCCAGUUUCAAUCUUCUGAAUAUGGCUAGCCAAUUAUCCCAGCACCAUUUAUUGAAUAGAGUGUCCUUUCCCCAUUCCUUGUUUUUGUCAAUUUUGCCAAUGAUCAGAUGGUUGUAGGUGUGACAUUAUUUCUGGGCUCUCUAUUCUGUUCCAUUGGUCUAUGUGUCUGGUUCGUUUUUUUUUUGUUUUUGUUUGUUUGUUUGUUUGUUUGUUUGUUUUUUUACCAGGACCAUGCUGUUUUCAUUACUGUAGCCUUGUGGAAUAGUUUGAAGUCAGGUAAUGUGAUCCCUCCAGCUUUGUUCUAAUUGAUUAGGACUACCUUGGCUAGUUGGACUCUUUUUUGAUUCCAUAUGAAUUUUAAAAUAUUUUUUCUAGUUCUGGGAAGAAUGUCAUUGGUAGUUUGAUAGGAAUACCAUUGAAUCUGUAAAAUUACUUUCAUUGGUUUUGCCAUUUUAACAAUAUUGACUCUUCCUAUCCAUGAGUGUGGAAUGUUUUUCCAUGUGUUUUUGUCAUCUCUGAUUUUUUGAGCAGUGCUUUGUAAUUCUCAUUGCAGUGAUCUUUCAUCUCCCUGGUUAGCUGUAUUCCUAGGUAUAUUAUUCUUUUUGUGGCUAUUGUGAAUGGCAUGCAUUCCUGAUUUGGCUCACAUCUUGGAUGCUAUUGGUGUAUAGAAAUACUACUGAUUUUUGUACAUUGAUUUUAUAUCCUUACACUUUGCUAAAGUUGUUUACCAGAUCAUGGAGGUUUUGGGCAAGGACUAUGGAGUUUUCUAGGUAUAGAAUCAUAUCAGGUUUAUAAGGCAAGGACCUUAUGGGUUCAUGGGUGAAUUGUACCAAGCAUUUAAAAAUUAAUGCUGAGAGGAGCCACAGACCCUCUGAAGGAAGCAGACUGCUCCUACAGGACCUUGGAGACACCCCAAAUACUGUGAGUGCCCCAACUGCAGAAACAGGAAAGGGAGACCCUUCUCUCCUGAACACACAACCCCACUGGAGAACCUGAAGGUCUGUUUUGGGGAGAAGCUUCUGAAUUUACCUGGAGCUGAGUCAAUUUAGAGAGCCGAGCAAAAUACAGGGGUAGAGGAAGCAGCAGAAAGGCCCUGGGAGCUUGCUGGGUCCCCUGGCAGGCCAUUCCUGCCUGGCACCACAGGGAUCCAUCAGGAGGGCAGCCAGAGGAGCAGGGGGUAAAACUCCACAGGGAAAAGGAAAUCUGUAGCUGAACUUUGUAACAAUUUGAACGGGGAGAGAAGCCUCCUGGCCAAAACUCAGGGGAGGGCACAAAUCCAGUGUGUAGACUCCACAGGCAGAGGAAGAACCAAGUCUUUUCUUUCACAGCUGGGAGGUGGGUAACCUGGGGCAAGUUUUCAAGCCCCUCUCGCCCCUCUCCUGGAAACAGACUCGGGGCUGUUGGUGGAGGGGCACCAAGGGAGUGACACUGGCCCUUGGAUUUGUGAAAGAGCUGGGUGAGGCCUGUGACUGCCAGCUUUCCCCACUUGCCAGACAACCUGCAUGACUCAGCAGAGGCAGCCAUAUUCCUCCUAGGUACACAACGCCAGUGACCCGGGAAUCUCACCCCCAUCCCUCACAACAGCCACAGCAAGACCUGCCCAAGGAGAGUCUGAGCUUAGACAUGCCUAGCCCUACUCCCACCUGAUGGUCUUUCCCUACCCACCCUGGUAGCCGAACGCAAAGGGUAUAUAAUAUUGGGAGUUCCAGGCCCGGCCCACUGCCAGUCCCUCUCCAUAUUUCUACAGCUAAUGCUCUCUGGAAAGUGCCACCUCCCAGCAGGAGGCCAACCCACACAAAAAUAGAGUGUUAAACCACCAAAACUAAGAACUCUCAUGGAGUCCAUUGCACCCCUCAUCCCGCCACCUCCACCGGAACAGGUGCUGGUGUCCAUGGCUGAGAGACCCAUAGAUGGUUCAUACUACAAGACUCUGUGCAGACAACCCCCAGUACCAGCCCAGAGCCAGGUAGACUCGCUGGGUGGCUAGACCCAGAAGAAAGACAACAAUCACUGCAGUUUGUCUUACAGGAAGUCACAUUCAUAGGUAAAGGGGGAGAGUACUACAUUAAGGGAACAUCCCAUGGGACAGAAGAAUCUGAACAACAGUCUUCAGCCCUAGACCUUCCCUCUAACAAAGCCUACCCAAAUGAGAAGAACCAGAAAACCAACCCUGGUAAUAUGAAAAAACAACAAUAUUCAACAUUCCCCAAAAAUCACACUAGUCCACCAGCAAUGGUUCCAAACCAAGAAGAAAUUCCUGAUUUACCUGAAAAAGAAUUCAGGAGGUUAGUUAUUAAGCUAAUCUAACUAAACUUUCAAUGGAAGUACCAUUGAAAGGCAAAGUCCAGUGCAAGGAAAUCCAAAAAACCAACACAAGAAGGGAGAAAUAUUCAAGGAAAUAGAUAGCUUAAAGAAAAAGCAAUAAAAAAUUCAGGAAACUUUGGACACACUUUUAGAAAUGUGAAGUGCUCUAGAAAGUCUCAGCAAUAGAAUUGAACAUGCAGAAGAAAGAAAUCCAGAGCUGAAAGACAAGGUCUUCAAAUUAACCCAAUUCAACAAUGACAAAGAAAAAUGAAUAAGAAAACAUGAACAAAGCCUCCAAGAAGUCUGGGAUUCUAUUAAACAACCAAAUCUUAGAAUAGUCGGUGCUCCUGAGGAAGAAGAUAAUUUUAAGAGCUAGGAAAACAUACUUGGGGGAAUAAUCAAGGAAAACUUCCCCAGCUUUGCUAGAGAUCUACACAUCCAAAUACAAGAAGCACAAAGAACACCCAAGAAAUUCAUGACAGAAAAUCAUCACCUAGGCACAUUGUCAUCAGGUUAUCCAAAGUUAAGAUGAAGGAAAGAAUCUUAAGAGCUGUGAGACAGAAGCACCAGGUAGCCUACAAAAGAAAACCUAUCAGAUUAACAACAGAUUUAUCAGCAGAAACUCUACAAGCUAGAAGGGAUUGGGGCCGUAUCUUUAGCCUCCUCAAACAAAACAAGUAUCGGCCAAGAAUUUUAUAUUCAGCAAAACUAAGCAUAAUAUAUGAAGGAAAGAUACAUCCUGUUUCAGACGAACAAAUUCUGAGAGAAUUUGCCACUACCCAGCCACCACUAUAAGAACUUUUGAAAGGAGCUCUAAAUCUUGAAAGAAAUCCUGGAAACACAUCAAAACAGAACCUCUUUAAAGCUUAAAUCACAUAAGAGCUAUAAAACAAAAAUACAAGUUAAAAAGCAAAAACAAAACAAAGCACACAGGCAACAAAAAGCAUAAAGAAUGCAACAGUGGCUGGGCGCGG